GCGGGGGUACCCAAGCCAGGUCCAAGGGGGAGGACUUAAGAUCCUCUGGCGUAGGCCGUCGUGGGUUCAAAUCCCACCCCCCGCACCA
Molecule: transfer RNA, 88 nt
Filed under: Candidatus Bathyarchaeota archaeon
Lineage: Archaea; Thermoproteati; Candidatus Bathyarchaeota
Also listed under: 1 other name
Description: tRNA-Leu
Rfam family: tRNA
About the family: Transfer RNA (tRNA) molecules are approximately 80 nucleotides in length. Their secondary structure includes four short double-helical elements and three loops (D, anti-codon, and T loops).
Source: RNAcentral